GUGCCUUGCCUCUGAUGAAGCCUGCGUUGGUAGGGACAUCUGAGAGUAAUGAUGAAUGCCAACCGCUCUGAUGGUGGCAC
Callithrix jacchus (white-tufted-ear marmoset) is the source of this 80-nucleotide small nucleolar RNA. The record is from Ensembl. Lineage: Eukaryota; Metazoa; Chordata; Mammalia; Primates; Cebidae.